Molecule: ribosomal RNA, 838 nt
Filed under: Caulobacter sp. AKB-2008-JO51
Lineage: Bacteria; Pseudomonadati; Pseudomonadota; Alphaproteobacteria; Caulobacterales; Caulobacteraceae
Description: bacterial SSU rRNA
Rfam family: Bacterial small subunit ribosomal RNA
Source: RNAcentral
AGAGUUUGAUCCUGGCUCAGAGCGAACGCUGGCGGCAGGCCUAACACAUGCAAGUCGAACGGAUCCUUCGGGAUUAGUGGCGGACGGGUGAGUAACACGUGGGAACGUGCCUUUUGGUUCGGAACAACUCAGGGAAACUUGAGCUAAUACCGGAUAAGCCCUUCGGGGGAAAGAUUUAUCGCCAUUAGAGCGGCCCGCGUAGGAUUAGCUAGUUGGUGGGGUAAAGGCCCACCAAGGCUACGAUCCUUAGCUGGUCUGAGAGGAUGAUCAGCCACAUUGGGACUGAGACACGGCCCAAACUCCUACGGGAGGCAGCAGUGGGGAAUCUUGCGCAAUGGGCGAAAGCCUGACGCAGCCAUGCCGCGUGAAUGAUGAAGGUCUUAGGAUUGUAAAAUUCUUUCACCGGGGACGAUAAUGACGGUACCCGGAGAAGAAGCCCCGGCUAACUUCGUGCCAGCAGCCGCGGUAAUACGAAGGGGGCUAGCGUUGCUCGGAAUUACUGGGCGUAAAGGGAGCGUAGGCGGAUAGUUUAGUCAGAGGUGAAAGCCCAGGGCUCAACCUUGGAAUUGCCCUUGAUACUGGCUAUCUUGAGUACGGAAGAGGUAUGUGGAACUCCGAGUGUAGAGGUGAAAUUCGUAGAUAUUCGGAAGAACACCAGUGGCGAAGGCGACAUACUGGUCCGUUACUGACGCUGAGGCUCGAAAGCGUGGGGAGCAAACAGGAUUAGAUACCCUGGUAGUCCACGCUGUAAACGAUGAGUGCUAGUUGUCGGCAUGCAUGCAUGUCGGUGACGCAGCUAACGCAUUAAGCACUCCGCCUGGGGAGUACGGUCGCAAGA